This 481-nucleotide ribosomal RNA is filed under the name uncultured bacterium. RNAcentral describes it as "partial 16S ribosomal RNA". It matches the Rfam family "Bacterial small subunit ribosomal RNA", at positions 28 to 507 of the family's 1533-position model. The record is from RNAcentral.
GACGAACGUUGGCGGCGUGCUUAAUACAUGCAAGUCAACUGAAGCAGUGGUAGCAAUAUCGCUGUGGAGGUGGCGCACGGGUGAGUAACACGUAGGUAAUCUGCCUUCAGGUCUGGCAUAACUCCGGGAAACCGGGGCUAAUAGCAGAUGAUGCAGCGGCUCGACAUCGAGACAGUUGUUAGAGCUAUGGCGCCUGAAGAUGAGCCUGCGUCUGAUUAGCUAGUUGGCGGGGUAACGGCCCACCAAGGCAACGAUCAGUAGCUGGUCUGAGAGGAUGAUCAGCCACACUGGAACUGAGACACGGUCCAGACUCCUACGGGAGGCAGCAGUAAGGAAUAUUGCUCAAUGGGAGAAAUCCUGAAGCAGCAACGCCGCGUGAGGGACGAAGGGCUUUUGCUUGUAAACCUCUGUAGUGAGAGAAAAAAAUCCCAAUCUUUGGGACAUGAUGGUAUCUCAAAAGUAAGCCCCGGCUAACUACGUG